GGCGUUCCCGGAGUUUGUUUCCCAGCGCGUUAGCCGCGGGUAGAAUUCAGCAUUGAACGCUCCUUUCAUGGGGAACUUCAUGUAGAGGCUGAAUUUUGAACAGACUUUUGAAAGAAGAAUAGCAGAUAAUGGUGAGAAAGAGGAAGAAGUAUCUUGUCUACCAGAACUGGUUGAAACAGGCAAACCAGAACUGAGGAAUCACCCGAUGGUCAUGGCAGAGAUAACAUUGGGGAAAAUCUGAAAAGGAAACUAUUGUAAAAUCCAACAAGAACACACGCAAUGUAUAAAACAAGGGGAC
Long non-coding RNA from Tupaia belangeri chinensis (Chinese tree shrew), 298 nucleotides. RefSeq lists it as uncharacterized. The transcript has 3 exons. The record is from RefSeq and is a predicted model, not a curated record. Lineage: Eukaryota; Metazoa; Chordata; Mammalia; Scandentia; Tupaiidae.